Molecule: ribosomal RNA, 431 nt
Filed under: uncultured Pelagibacteraceae bacterium
Lineage: Bacteria; Pseudomonadati; Pseudomonadota; Alphaproteobacteria; Candidatus Pelagibacterales; Candidatus Pelagibacteraceae
Description: bacterial SSU rRNA
Rfam family: Bacterial small subunit ribosomal RNA
Source: RNAcentral
AUUGAACGCUGGCGGCAGGCCUAAGACAUGCAAGUCGAGCGCAGUAGCAAUACUGAGUGGCAAACGGGUGAGUAUAAUGUGGGAAUCUGCCUUUUGGUUUGGAAUAACACGGGGAAACUUGUGCUAAUACCGAAUAAGCCUUUACAGGUAAAGUUUUAAUGCCAAAAGAUGAGCCCGCACUUGAUUAGCUAGUUGGUAAGGUAAAAGCUUACCAAGGCAACGAUCAAUAGCUGUUCUCAGAGGAAGACCAGCCACAUUGGGACUGAGACACGGCCCAGACUCCUACGGGAGGCAGCAGUGGGGAAUCUUGCACAAUGGGGGAAACCCUGAUGCAGCGAUGCCGCGUGAGUGAAGAAGGCCCUUGGGUUGUAAAACUCUUUCGUCGGGGAAGAAAAUGACUGUACCCGAAUAAGAAGGUCCGGCUAACUUCG